Molecule: ribosomal RNA, 418 nt
Filed under: uncultured bacterium
Lineage: Bacteria
Description: bacterial SSU rRNA
Rfam family: Bacterial small subunit ribosomal RNA
Source: RNAcentral
UAUUGGACAAUGGGCGAAAGCCUGAUCCAGCAAUGCCGCGUGUGUGAAGAAGGCCUUCGGGUUGUAAAGCACUUUAAGGGGGAGGAAGGUUCGCUGGUUAAUACCCAGCGGAAUUGACGUUACCCCCAGAAUAAGCACCGGCUAACUCCGUGCCAGCAGCCGCGGUAAUACAGAGGGUGCGAGCGUUGUCCGGAAUCACUGGGCGUAAAGGGCGCGUAGGUGGCUCUAUAAGUCGGGGGUGAAAUGCUGCGGCUCAACCGCAGCGCUGCCUUCGAGACUGUAGGGCUCGAGCACGGUAGAGGCCGAUGGAAUUCCCGGUGUAGCGGUGGAAUGCGUAGAGAUCGGGAAGAACACCAAUGGCGAAGGCAGUCGGCUGGGCCGUUGCUGACACUGAGGCGCGACAGCGUGGGGAGCAAAC